CCGAAUCAACAUAUCAAAUACUAGAUUUUAACUAGACAGUUUCAAAAGAAAAGAAAGCAAUCUCAACGUGAUUCAUUCACAAUAAUACUCCAACAAAUGUGAUAUUACAAUAACACUUUAAGCGCAUAUCCUAGGUGAGACAAGUAAACAAGUAGACUACAACUGCACUUGGAACUUGUAGACCUUCGCUUACGCCAAAAGUAUCCAUAAAACAACAUAUAAAUUGAACAUCUCUAAAGUAAUUUAACAUUUUUACAGCUUUAAAGUGGAAAAACUCGAAACUGUUUGCAAUUUUGCAUCAAAAGGUAUCACGACAAACUUGGCAAACAGCUUCACCCAUGAUGGUUGAGCUAAUAACCACAUGUAGGUCAAAACUGCAUGGUCUUGUUUAUGUUAACCCUGAAAAACUUUAGCAGCAGAUCAGCAUUGUAAUAAUUAAAUCUUUUCUUGGAACUCUUAGAAGUUAAAAAGAAGAAACAACAUAUUUAUGGAUGUAAACACUUUUGAUGCAAGGAAGAUUCAAGAGGUAUAUUGGCAUUCAAUCUUUGACAAUAUAGCACUAACCUUAUCAACAGGACCUUUAGCACCUCCUAUGAAUAUUUCAGCACUGCAAAUUAGGCCGCCAUGAAUGGGCCUCGAUCGGCGACGACCUCAAAAUCAAUCGAACUCCAUCAGUAGCGAGAAUCGAACAGAGGUCGAAGUUCUCUGUAUGAACAAACUCCAAUGUUCAAUUUCUAAAGUCAAUCACGAAAUUUGAAGAGCCCAGCUAAUCGUCUUCUCCAAGAGUGAGUUCAGGGGUCAUUGGUGAGGGAGAUGGCUGGAGAUCGGUGGUCUCUUAGGGUGUGUUUGGUUGUCCAGGAGCUGAACGGUGGAGGGCUGCUGUGUUCCGCAGCUGAUUUUAGUUGCUUGGGGUGUGGAUGAGAUGAGGAGUUCUAUUGUUUUUUCUUGUCCAUGGUGAAAGGGGAAGAAGAAAACAGAACCGAUGGGGAAGGGGUCUCUUGUGUGUAUUAGCUGCGCAGCUUUGUGCGUAUCUCCUUCUUCGUUAUUAUGCGCAGCUUUGCUGCUUUUUCGUUCCAGCCCCCUUUUGCUUUUUUG
RNAcentral lists this long non-coding RNA (1095 nucleotides) under Nicotiana tabacum (common tobacco). Its description in RNAcentral is "long non-coding RNA (NTAB_LNC008826)". The record is from RNAcentral. Lineage: Eukaryota; Viridiplantae; Streptophyta; Magnoliopsida; Solanales; Solanaceae.